CUGCACUCCAGCCUGGGCGACAGAGAGAGACUCCGUCUCGAAAAAAAAAGAGUACAAGGCAAUAAAAUUCUCUGUGAUGGUCCGGGGUGGACUGUUCACUGCAGGAAGAUCUUUGCAAAUAUCGGGGCGGGGGGUUUUCUACCACAGAUGCAUUUUAAAAUGGGCACCUGUGGGCAAGGCAUUAGCAAUGAAUUGAAAUACAGUGCAUAACUUACUUUUUGUUUUGUUUGCUCUGAAUUUCAUUGCUGCUUAUUAUGGUACCUUUGUGUGAAGGAUAAUUUAGAGGAGGUAGGAGAUACAAGGGAAAGGAAAGGAGAAAGGGGUACCAGAAUCGGGAGGCAAAUGGUUGAGCAGGGCCGUACCUGUUCCUAUUUGUUAUGAGUUGUGCCUCCCACUUGGGGCUAAUUCUCCAUUAACAUUGUGUUUUCUCGAUGGGACUCUCCAGGGUGGCUUAGGAUAGCAGCUCUCUUCGAGUCAGCCCAUGGAUGCUGUUUCAGCUCAGUGGAGGACUUCAGAAGCAAGCUGAAAUGGAAUUGGUGUACCAGUAGGGGGAUGGGAAGAAAGGACACUAGUGAAAGAAAUGUGGACGGGUGUGUCUUCAGGUAUAUUAACAGGUCCAGAGCAUGGAGUCCCCAGCAGAAAAUGCACAGAUGCCAUUGCAAAAGGCAGGAGGCGCAGAAAUGAACGUGAUCCACCAAAAAUAAAAGUGACCUUUGGACUGCCAGAAGAUUCACGUGAAACCUCACAUAAAAUCAGCAUGUGAAGACAGAGAGGAUGUUGGUGAUCACCAGAAUCUGUUCAUUUUUCCUUUGAAGAUACUUAAAGGAAGUAUGUGUAUGUUUACAGAUGCUUUGUAGUUUUAAAUUUAUGCUGGACAUUGCAUAAAAUGGAAAAUAGAGGUUAAAGUAAUAUUUGCUCCCAACAAAGGACCAUCCUACAGGAAGCUGAGUAAGUAUAAUCUGAAGUUAAAGUGAGCCUGGGGUAUUUUGUGUUUUUGGUUUUUUUUUUUUUUUUUGCAGUUUUAGUUAGAUUCCGAUCACCAUGGGCUUCAGAUGUUUUGACAGCGGGAUCAAGAUGUUCUCCUCAGCAAAGCUUAGGAUAUGACACCUGCAAGAGCACAGAGAUCUCCUUAUGCUUUUUAUCUAGCCACCAGUUUUACAAACCAUGGCGAUCCCUGUCGUUGGUAUUGGAGUGUUACUGCUCCUAGGCCCUCUUUGUGGACAGAG
This 1226-nucleotide long non-coding RNA is filed under the name Homo sapiens (human). RNAcentral's name for it is "HSALNT0185794". Lineage: Eukaryota; Metazoa; Chordata; Mammalia; Primates; Hominidae. The record is from RNAcentral.